This 380-nucleotide ribosomal RNA is filed under the name uncultured bacterium. RNAcentral's name for it is "bacterial SSU rRNA". It matches the Rfam family "Bacterial small subunit ribosomal RNA", at positions 29 to 409 of the family's 1533-position model. The record is from RNAcentral.
AACGAACGCUGGCGGCAUGCCUUACACAUGCAAGUCGAACGGCAGCACGGGAGCAAUCCUGGUGGCGAGUGGCGAACGGGUGAGUAAUAUAUCGGAACGUGCCCAGUCGUGGGGGAUAACGUAGCGAAAGCUACGCUAAUACCGCAUACGAUCUACGGAUGAAAGCGGGGGAUACGCAAGACCUCGCGCGAUUGGAGCGGCCGAUAUCAGAUUAGGUAGUUGGUGAGGUAAAGGCUCACCAAGCCGACGAUCUGUAGCUGGUCUGAGAGGACGACCAGCCACACUGGAACUGAGACACGGUCCAGACUCCUACGGGAGGCAGCAGUGGGGAAUUUUGGACAAUGGACGCAAGUCUGAUCCAGCCAUUCCGCGUGCAGGAU